CAGGUGUGCAUAACUGUGUCUGGUGAGAAUUUACUCCUAAGACCUAAACAAAUACAAUAAAAUCUAUUUUCUCAAUUUAGUGUGAAAGCCCUAGAAUAUAAUUUUCUUAAAUGCUUGUCUCUGUAGUCAGGGUGUCAACUGAUCCUUUGCAGAGCACACCAUAUCUUGUAGAUUAUUUCCAGGAUAUGCCAGUGAGUAAUAAUAAGUUCAAAAUAACCUUCUUCUCAUGGGUCUAGUGUCUUUGGAACCCCCUAAAGGUUUACCGGUGUCAUUAAGAGGGAGAAUCCAGUCUAGUGGGAUUCCAUCUUGUUACCACCUGAGAUUGCUGCAGUCUUCUGUCUUCGUGGUGAACCCAGGGAUGCUGAGAGAUGCUGGAUCAAAGCAUAGGCACUGAAUUCAACAGUCCUCUCUUUUGGUUCUUCCUCAGGAACUUCGGCUCUCACAGCGUUUUUGGUCCUUCUCUUCACCUCUUAUUCAGUGCUGGUUCAGACAGCUUCCCUGAUCCUUCUUGCACUGUGCCCCUACUAGGGUUUGGACGAUUUUUCCUUUGAAGCUUUUGCAACAAAAUGUUAGGAUUACAUCUCUGUCUUUCUACUUCCAAGUGAAAUUUUAUGCACCCCCACCAAACUUUUUUAUUUUAUUUUAUUAUUAACAAAGGGCCUUUUUAAUGUGUCCAUUUCCAGGACAGUGAGACCCAGAACAUGUUCCUCCAGGGAAAGUCAUUUUCAGAGAUUCCAGGCUUUCCCUACUGCUACCACAUCAACCACUCAUACCUGGAGGUGGCCUUCUAGGUCCAAGAUUGCCUGACACCUUCAUGCUGAAGAAGAGGGGAGAACUUCGAGAGUUGUGGAGGGGACACAAGCACUGAUACCAUUUUCAGAACAAAAUUUUAUUUGUGUACAGAAACCCCCAAAUCUUGAGCUGUUACCCCUUUAAGAGGCUUUCUCCUUUUGGGAUGGACCUGCAGAUUUUCUAAGCCAGACAAAGCUGCCAAUCUGCCUGCUCUAGCUGUCAGUGUUUGCUGCCAUUCCACUCCUGCCACCAAUUCUCCUUUUCUUCCUUCUUGGUAAUUUGGCUUUGACACCUUCGUGAAGGUGGCACCUGUUUUCAGCUUGAUUUCUUAUACUUCCCACUUGCUUGAUAGCCUUUGGAGGGAGGAUUUAACCGGAAGAGACUGAGCUUGGGGAUGGAGGGAUAGACAGGUGGGGUCCCUGAUGCUUUUGGAGAUACACAGGGUGUUUCAUGGGGACAGGUGGGAGUGUGGGGAAAGAGCACAUGUCCAGGUGGGGGAGCUGAACAACGUAAUGGAAGGGAAGAGAGAAGAGAGGAGGUUCUCCUGUCAGAGUUGGAACUGUGUGGUUUAGAUGAGGUUGCUGGAUGACUUUAGGUUGGAAAGAAUCUUGCCAUGAGUUGGAUCCCUUCGUUGGAAAUUCUGUCUACUGGGGUUUGGGGGAUGAACCCUCUGCAUUCUCUUAGCUGAUCUUGCCAAGGCAGGAGGAGGAUUAAGAGCUCUAACAUGGUCAUUUCUUGAUAUCCUGGUGAGAUUGGUUCCAGAACCCUUCUUGGAUACCAAAAUUCUCAGAUGUUCAAGUCCCUGAGAAUGGUGUAGCUUUUGUAUAUAAUCUACGUGCACUCUCCAGUAUACUUUAAAUAAUCUCUAGAUGACCUAUAUACCUUUAUACCUAAUAAGGUAUAAAUACUGUGUAAAUAGUAGUUAUACUGUAUUAUUUAGGGAAAAAUGACAAGAACAAAGUCUGUGCAUGUUUAUCAGAAAUGCGUUGUUUUUUUUUUUUUCCUGGAUAUUGUAAUUUGUGGUUGGUUGAAUCUGCAGAUGCUGAAGCUGCAAAUAUGACAAAUAUAAGAAAUGUUUAUUCUGGACCAUUCACCUUGGAUUUUUUUCCCCCAAAUCUAUGUUGUCUGGCCAAUAAACUAGACAGUUCUGGACCCCUGUAGGAGUGUGAGGAUGACUGAGCUCCACCAUCCUUUUCGAAAGACAUCCCCUUUGUUCAUCUCAUCCGUUGCACCUGCAUUGUCCUGGACUCUAAUUAAGUUGCCCAUAUUCAUCCGGGUUCUCUGGUUUUUAUCCUUUUGAGAUAAUGGCCUGUUACCCUCUAGGUUCUGAUAACUCAUCAUUUCCCUCCUGUUCCUGAUAAGCUUGGAAAGCCUUGGAAAGACUACUGACUUUGGAGUUAAUACAAAACCAUUGAAAACAUGAGUAAUUCUUUUUUUCUUAUUAUGGGAGACUUUGUGACUGGCAUGAUUUAUCUAGGUUGAUCACUUUCCUUUCAUCAGAGCCUGGUUAUUAAUUUGUUAAAAAAAAAUCUUGUUCAAGGAAAGUGUUUAAUGAUUAGUAGACCAUGAAGCGCUAAUGUAGAAAACAAAAGCAGUUGUUCAGAAACCAUUUCUGCAUUCAGAUAAUGUUGGUUAUUCUAAUGUCUUUUUUUAAAAAAUUUGCCUUUAUCAUCAAUAUUUCAUUUUAUAUUGAAAAAGAACAUUCUAGAAGACAGUCUGCAUACAUAUGCUUCUUCUUUUCAUUAAUACUUGCUAUUCUUCAGAGUUGGGAGGGAUGGAGGAACAGGAGAAGAGGAAGAAUUAGCAAUUAUUAAUGUUUACUGUGGAUCAGGGAUUAUUCUACCACUUUAUAUACAUCCUCACUUAAUCCCUAGAGAAGUAGUGCUAAUAUUGUGUCCAUUUCAUAGAAGAGGGAGUAUCCCUGAAUGAGCAAGUAAAUUCAGAUUUCAUCCCAAUAAUCUGACUCCAGAGUUUCUGCUGUUAACCCUUUUGAGACUGCAAGCCAUUUCUGCUGGCAGAGUUUGACUUUGUUCACUAGCAUUGUAUGUAUGUAUAUAUUAUAUAUAUACACACACACAUGCAUAUGCAUAUAUAUACAUAUACGUAUAUAUACAUAUACAUGUAAUUUCUUCUGAAAGUUAAAAAUUAAAGACUUAUGAUUUAUGAAACUUGAUUAAAACAUGCAAAUAUCUGAGCAAAUAAAUUAAGCAGAGUACUAAAGAUAAUGCUGGUCUCAAUAUUUUAAGUCAGACAAGUGGUACUGCUUGGAGCAUCUGUAGAAAGUGACACAAACUUUUGGGAUGACUUGCAAGCCCAGUUCUUGAUAGAAAGAGUUUUAAAAUGCACCAUAAGCAGGUGACUGCAGGAUAAUGGCAGUGCCAGAUGGGUGUUCAAAGUGUUGCCAAACUGGAGCCUUAGGAAGUAACUCAUGAUAAGAAAUAUUUUGCAACCAACUGAGAAGUACUUUAUUUUAGAAAAUACUUGGGUAUUCUGAGUCUAUGAGUAAGCAAAUUAUCAACAUUAUUUUGCUUAAUCUAAUUUUAAGGCAUUGCUUCUCCUAGUUAAGUCUGUUUGUUUUCUACAUAAAAGUUUACACUAAAAGUAUUAGAUAUAAAAAUAUUAUCUUGAAUUUUCCUAAAUAAGAAAAAAUUAAUUAUGUAUGGUAAAGUGUAUUUCAGUUCUUUUCAAUUCUACUCUUGGUUAUGAUGCUAGAGAAUUCUUUUUCCCAAAAUUAACAGCAUAAUAUAUAGGUUCUGUGAAAAAUAUGUCGGGCUGCAUGAUUUAUACAGUACAUAUGUAUAGUAUAAAUGUAAAAUGUAAAGUCUUCAAAGUUAUAAAAAUGCUUUUGAGUACAGCUUUGAUCUAGUCCAUAAGCUUUGAUUUAUAGUUUUCUAAUUGUUUUCAUUUAGAUAGUCUAUCAUUAGUAUUUUGAUUUCCUCUUUGACCUGGUCACUAUCCUAGACUUCUUUCUUUCUCCCUUUCCCCUUUAGAAAUUGUGAGUUCUCAAACAAACAAACAAAAUAAACAAAAAACAACUUGUUGUUAUUGGUCUCUCAUAUUUUAUAGUAGCCAGUGUUGACUCUAUUUCAUAACCAUGAGGCAAAGACAAAAAUUAGGUGGGGGGAGUGUAAAACUUGAACUGCUAUUAGAGAAUUUUCAAAAUAUCUAUAUAUUUAUAAUCAUUCUUCUGUAUACUGAGGAGAUUGGUCGCAGGAUUCCUGUGGAAAAUAAAAUCUGCUUUUGCUCAAGUCCUUUAUAUCAAAUGGCAUAAUACUUGCAUAUAAGCUCCACACAUUCUCCCCUAGACUUUAAGGCAUCUCUAGAUUACUUACAUCACCUAAUACAAUGUAAAUGCUGUAUAAGUAGUUGCUAUACUAUAUUGUUUAGGGAAUAAGGACAGGACACAUAUUCAGUAAGGACACAGUUUUUUUUCAUGUGAAUAUUUCAAUCUGUUUUUGGUUCAAUCUGUAGAUAAAGAACCCAUGGAUUUGGAGAGCCUACUGUAUGUGUUUUUUCCAAGUUUAUUGAUAUUAUAUUAUUGCCUAAGAGAGAUCAAGUUUUUCUGUUCCCCAGAAACUUGAAAAAAAAGAAAUUUUUUUCACAGGAUAUGUUUGUGUGUUAAAUCUUGUUAUUAAAUAUAUAUAUAUUAAACUUAUUUUAU
Molecule: long non-coding RNA, 4453 nt
Filed under: Marmota monax (woodchuck)
Lineage: Eukaryota; Metazoa; Chordata; Mammalia; Rodentia; Sciuridae
Source: RNAcentral